Molecule: ribosomal RNA, 253 nt
Filed under: uncultured bacterium
Lineage: Bacteria
Description: partial 16S ribosomal RNA
Rfam family: Bacterial small subunit ribosomal RNA
Source: RNAcentral
UACGGAGGGAGCUAGCGUUGUUCGGAAUUACUGGGCGUAAAGCGCACGUAGGCGGCUUUGUAAGUUAGAGGUGAAAGCCCGGGGCUCAACUCCGGAAUUGCCUUUGAUACUGAGAAGCUUGAGUCCGGGAGAGGUGAGUGGAACUGCGAGUGUAGAGGUGAAAUUCGUAGAUAUUCGCAAGAACACCAGUGGCGAAGGCGGCUCACUGGCCCGGUACUGGCGCUGAGGUGCGAAAGCGUGGGGAGCAAACAGG